Long non-coding RNA from Priapulus caudatus, 346 nucleotides. RefSeq lists it as uncharacterized. The record is from RefSeq and is a predicted model, not a curated record. Lineage: Eukaryota; Metazoa; Priapulida; Priapulimorpha; Priapulimorphida; Priapulidae. The transcript is spliced from 3 exons.
ACGUCAACUCAAAAUGAGAUGGUGGUCAUCGCUCAAGCUAACUACAACUACCAGUUCGGCUUUACUUUCCAGUACAGGGCAACCUGCCCGGUGUGAACAAUUGCGGAUCGACCAGGCAUUCGUCUUUAUGCACCGACGCGACUGGAUACAACCCUUUUCGGGGAGACACAGGCAUGCACAGGGAGUGCGAGUUUCUUUGACGUGUGCAUGGACAGCUCACUGACCCGCCUUACUGCUGCUAUGGCUGGACCCUCCGUCAGAAGGGCAAAAUUUUAUGCCUACUUGGAAAUCUUGGUAUCUUGGUACAAAUUCUAGAGGAAAGUUACAGAUUAUCAUAGGUUCACAA